AGAUAGAAAGUUACUUCGGUACAUCGGUGACAGGUGGUGCAUGGUUGUCGUCAGCUCGUGUCGUGAGAUGUUGGGUUAAGUCCCGCAACGAGCGCAACCCCUAUUGUUAGUUGCCAUCAUUCAGUUGGGCACUCUAGCGAGACUGCCGGUAAUAAACCGGAGGAAGUGGGAUGACGUCAAAUCAUCAUGCCCCUUAUGACCUGGGCUACACACGUGCUACAAUGGUUGGUACAACGAGUUGCGAGUCGGUGACGGCGAGCUAAUCUCUUAAAGCCAAUCUCAGUUCGGAUUGUAGGCUGCAACUCGCCUACAUGAAGUCGGAAUCGCUAGUAAUCGCGGAUCAGCACGCCGCGGUGAAUACGUUCCCGGGCCUU
Molecule: ribosomal RNA, 374 nt
Filed under: uncultured Streptococcus sp.
Lineage: Bacteria; Bacillati; Bacillota; Bacilli; Lactobacillales; Streptococcaceae
Description: bacterial SSU rRNA
Rfam family: Bacterial small subunit ribosomal RNA
Source: RNAcentral